AAGCAUCUAAGCGGGAAACCCACCUCAAAACAAGGUCUCCCCAAGGGCCGUGAUAGACCAUCACGUCAAUAGGCCAGGUGUGGAAGCGCAGUAAUGCGUGCAGCUAACUGGUCCUAAUCGCCCAACAGGCUCAUUCCA
RNAcentral lists this ribosomal RNA (138 nucleotides) under Komagataeibacter rhaeticus AF1. RNAcentral describes it as "partial 23S ribosomal RNA". It matches the Rfam family "Bacterial large subunit ribosomal RNA", at positions 2775 to 2925 of the family's 2925-position model. The record is from RNAcentral. Lineage: Bacteria; Pseudomonadati; Pseudomonadota; Alphaproteobacteria; Acetobacterales; Acetobacteraceae.